RNAcentral lists this transfer RNA (71 nucleotides) under Loxodonta africana (African savanna elephant). It matches the Rfam family "tRNA". Rfam says of the family: Transfer RNA (tRNA) molecules are approximately 80 nucleotides in length. Their secondary structure includes four short double-helical elements and three loops (D, anti-codon, and T loops). Lineage: Eukaryota; Metazoa; Chordata; Mammalia; Proboscidea; Elephantidae. The record is from Rfam by way of RNAcentral.
GCACUGGUGGUUCAGUGGUAGAAUUCUCACCUUCCACGCAGGAGACAUGGGUUCAACUCCUGGCCACUGCA